This 644-nucleotide ribosomal RNA is filed under the name Bacillus pumilus. Its description in RNAcentral is "partial 23S ribosomal RNA". It matches the Rfam family "Bacterial large subunit ribosomal RNA", at positions 1563 to 2205 of the family's 2925-position model. Lineage: Bacteria; Bacillati; Bacillota; Bacilli; Caryophanales; Bacillaceae. The record is from RNAcentral.
GUGAUGGCGAGCGAAAUUUAGUAGCGAAGUUCCUGAUUCCACACUGCCAAGAAAAGCCUCUAGCGAGGUGAGAGGUGCCCGUACCGCAAACCGACACAGGUAGGCGAGGAGAGAAUCCUAAGGUGAUCGAGAGAACUCUCGUUAAGGAACUCGGCAAAAUGACCCCGUAACUUCGGGAGAAGGGGUGCUUCUUAGGGUGUUAAAGCCCCGAGAAGCCGCAGUGAAUAGGCCCAGGCGACUGUUUAGCAAAAACACAGGUCUCUGCGAAGCCGUAAGGCGAAGUAUAGGGGCUGACGCCUGCCCGGUGCUGGAAGGUUAAGAGGAGCGCUUAGCGUAAGCGAAGGUGCGAAUUGAAGCCCCAGUAAACGGCGGCCGUAACUAUAACGGUCCUAAGGUAGCGAAAUUCCUUGUCGGGUAAGUUCCGACCCGCACGAAAGGCGCAACGAUCUGGGCACUGUCUCAACGAGAGACUCGGUGAAAUUAUAGUACCUGUGAAGAUGCAGGUUACCCGCGACAGGACGGAAAGACCCCGUGGAGCUUUACUGCAGCCUGAUAUUGAAUGUUGGUACAGCUUGUACAGGAUAGGUAGGAGCCUUGGAAACCGGAGCGCUAGCUUCGGUGGAGGCAUCGGUGGGAUACUACCC